This 467-nucleotide ribosomal RNA is filed under the name uncultured bacterium. RNAcentral describes it as "partial 16S ribosomal RNA". It matches the Rfam family "Bacterial small subunit ribosomal RNA", at positions 28 to 507 of the family's 1533-position model. The record is from RNAcentral.
GACGAACGCUGGCGGCGUGCUUAACACAUGCAAGUCGAACGGAAAGGCCCUGCUUUUGUGGGGUGCUCGAGUGGCGAACGGGUGAGUAACACGUGAGUAACCUGCCCUUGACUUUGGGAUAACUUCAGGAAACUGGGGCUAAUACCGGAUAGGAGCUCCUGCUGCAUGGUGGGGGUUGGAAAGUUUCGGCGGUUGGGGAUGGACUCGCGGCUUAUCAGCUUGUUGGUGGGGUAGUGGCUUACCAAGGCUUUGACGGGUAGCCGGCCUGAGAGGGUGACCGGCCACAUUGGGACUGGGAUACGGCCCGGACUCCUACGGGAGGCAGCAGUGGGGAAUAUUGCACAAUGGGCGGAAGCCUGAUGCAGCAACGCCGCGUGCGGGAUGACGGCCUUCGGGUUGUAAACCGCUUUCGCCUGUGACGAAGCGUGAGUGACGGAAUGGGUAAAGAAGCACCGGCUAACUACGUG